GUCUGCGGCCAUGCUACCAUGAACAAGCCCAAUCCCGUCUGAUCUCGGAAGCUAAGCAGGGUCGGGCCUGUGUAGUACUUGGAUGGGAGACCGCCUAGGAAGACCAGCUGCUGUAGGUG
Molecule: ribosomal RNA, 119 nt
Filed under: Pteropus alecto (black flying fox)
Lineage: Eukaryota; Metazoa; Chordata; Mammalia; Chiroptera; Pteropodidae
Source: RNAcentral